CGGCCCAGAGCGCCAGCGUCGCCGCUGGUGUUCGUCCUGAUAUCUGUUGAUUUCACCGCUACGCAGGAAUUCCACGCUCCUCUACCUUAACUCUAGUCCUGCUUUUGAUACGUGGGGUCCCAGGGUUGACCCCUGAAUUUUCACAUUCGACUUACCGAACCGGAAUGCAGCUCUUUACGAGGAUAAUUCCUGACAAAGGUUGGUCUCUACGUAUUACCUGAGCUGCUGAACGUAGUUGGCCGGACCUUCUUCUGUAGGUACCGUGAUUUUCCUCCCUGCUGAAAGGGGUUUACGACCGUGAGGGACUCCUCCCCCACUCUGUGUUGCUGCUAACGGAUUUCGCCCCUUGCCUGAGAUUCCCUACUGCUGUCUCCGAUACGAG
RNAcentral lists this ribosomal RNA (382 nucleotides) under uncultured bacterium. Its description in RNAcentral is "partial 16S ribosomal RNA". The record is from RNAcentral.